GCUGCUGGAGAGGCUGUUGCUGGCCGAGGUGGAUUUGGUGGGGAAGAGGCACCGGAGAAGGCUGGCCUGAUAGUCGAUGCUGCGGAAGGCCUUCCGAAGAGAUGGUGAAGCCUGCCGGGGGAGAGGAAGGAGGAGAGGACUCGCCCGGGUGGCAGAUGCAGGCAUUCACUACAUGUUCACCAGUGUCCUUCAAAAAAGUGGCUUAAAAGAUACUAACAGAAGAAUUUUCUGACUCCGCCCAGAAAGUAGAGGCAUAUGUGAGGUGAUGCUGUACAGGUCUUUGAGCACUGCCUAGCAUGGAAGAAAUCAAGAUAAGAUGAAGAUUCUGUUGUUAAGAGUAUCAUUGGACCAGUUAGAGGGGAACUUACCUAGCCUUGAUGAGGCUACACUCCCUGUGAAGGAUUGUGUCCUUAGCUUGGGAUACUCACGGACCCAGCACUCUCUGUGGAGGCUCAACUAUCGACCAUGGCCAGGAAUACCUUUUAUCGACUCCAGUGGUUGUCCACUUGUGCCCCUACCUGGAUAAGAAAUGCUUAGUAACAGUUUUUUGUGCAUUAGUAAUCUCCAAAGUAGACUACUGUGGUGCUCGCUAUGUACGGCUGCCCUUGAAAACAGAAUGGAAACUUCAGCAUGAGAAGGAACUAACUACGGCCCUCAGAAAGUACAGUGAGCCAUCUCGAUCAUCUGCUACACAUUGCUCCCAAUGAUGGCUCAUUUAGGAUUACAGGAACAAAAGAGUGGGAAAGGCAAAGAGGAGAAGAACAGGAAAGUAACAGCUGAGACAAAUUCCCCAAUAGCUGAAGGAUACAUGAUGGAGGUAGAGGAAAGGAUAAAAGGGGAAUGAUUGAGGGAAAAAAAGGUAGAGCAGACAGAGCAAGAAAAAGAGAUAGAAUAAGAAAAUAUUGAUAGGAUGGGGAUGACUGGAGACGGAGGACCCCGGACUAGGGAAAGGGUCAAGAUGAAGCUACCCUGUGAAGAGAUAGAGCAGAGACAGUAGUAUCGCCUGGUUAGCCAGCCAGCCAGACCCCAAAAGGGCUAAAAUGGAAUCCCAGAGAAGAGAGAAAGAAGGGGCUGAGCCUAUAGAAUGGACCAUUUAUAUGUACCCCAAAAAGGGAGACCUUUGGAAGAAGGAAAUGUGGCUGGUACUGGUCAGCCAACCCACUGAAAGGGAAUGGGCACAACAGCCAUGUUGUGGGACUAUUUCCCCCAGGCUACAGAACCCGAUGUGGAAACUGAUGGAUUGUGGGUAAUUUGGGGUGAACCCACAAUGGUGAACUCUUGUGUCACACUGGAGUUGAAAGACUGUUGGCCUAGAAAAGCCCUGUUGGAUGGUCCUGCUGGACUUACUGAGGUUAUUGUUCAUGAUGCUUUGUUGUUGUUAAUAAAUUGUUUGUGCACCAAAAUUAAUCUUUGCCACUUCUGGAGGUUAAAACCAAGGAAC
Molecule: non-coding RNA, 1441 nt
Organism: Pogona vitticeps (central bearded dragon)
Lineage: Eukaryota; Metazoa; Chordata; Lepidosauria; Squamata; Agamidae
Source: RefSeq, a predicted model, not a curated record